GCAACAGGUCAAGGUACAAAGGUACUUGUCACCCCAUUGAUCACCAGGGUUGAUUCGGCUGAUCUGGCUGGCUAGGCGGGUGUCCCCUUCCUCCCUCACCGCUCCAUGUGCGUCCCUCCCGAAGCUGCGCGCUUGGUCGAAGAGGACGACCUUCCCUGCUGGAGGAGGACCGGUCUUCGGUCAAGGGUAUACGAGUAGCUGCACUCCCCUGCUAGAACCUCCAAACAAGCUCUCAAGAUCCAUAAAGAAAAAAAAAAAAAAGGCUUGGCAAUAUGUUCUGCAAACAGCCACCCAGGACCUGGAGAAUUCU
RNAcentral lists this small nuclear RNA (310 nucleotides) under Propithecus coquereli (Coquerel's sifaka). RNAcentral describes it as "7SK RNA (ENSPCOG00000004303.1)". It matches the Rfam family "7SK RNA". From Rfam's summary of the family: 7SK was discovered as an abundant small nuclear RNA in the mid-70s but a possible function has only recently been suggested. Two independent studies have found that 7SK RNA binds the CDK9/cyclin T complex (known as elongation factor P-TEFb). Lineage: Eukaryota; Metazoa; Chordata; Mammalia; Primates; Indriidae. The record is from RNAcentral.